UACUGAUAUGCCGACCUUGCUCCACUUU
RNAcentral lists this small RNA (28 nucleotides) under Bombyx mori (domestic silkworm). Its description in RNAcentral is "piRNA piR-bmo-2196691". Lineage: Eukaryota; Metazoa; Arthropoda; Insecta; Lepidoptera; Bombycidae. The record is from RNAcentral.